Molecule: unclassified non-coding RNA, 2490 nt
Filed under: Leishmania donovani
Lineage: Eukaryota; Euglenozoa; Kinetoplastea; Trypanosomatida; Trypanosomatidae
Description: gene:LdHU3.35.0340(CDS-product:hypothetical_prote in_conserved)
Source: RNAcentral
AGUCGGCAGUACACCACCCUCUCGCUCUCGUCCUCCCUUGCUGCUCAAUAUCCACGCUGAGACACACACCCACGCAGACGCACCAAAAGCCAAGAAGGGGAGAGGGUGGGUGAAAGUGGGCGGAGGAAACCUCUUGCCGCGGUGUGCAUCCGUCUGUCUGUCUGCUCCUUGCCUCUCUCGACGAUUGGUGCUCGUUUGCUCUCUUAGUGCAUAUUCGAUGCUUUACAUAUUUUCUAAAUGAGCACCUCAACUCGUCGCAUCAGCGUCACCUCGGAGCAGCUGCAGAGCGACGCUCUUCGCGCCCAGCUCUUCAGUGCGUGCUGCGCGUACGGCGUUGUGGAGUGGGCGCAGUACCAGGAGGACCCGAACUACAACACCACCACAGUGCACAUUCAGUUCCAGAAGCUGUCCAGCGCCGACCGUCUCCGCAGCGACGUGCAGCAGCGAGGGCGCCUUUGGCAGAUCGAGAGCGAACCGGCGGCGCUGUGCGUGGGUACGGAUGUUCUACUGAGCGCUGCGGAGGUGCUGCGCCUUGGCCGUCUCACCGCUGCACUGCCCGGCUUUGCAUGCACGGCACUUAUAGGCGUCACUGUAAGCAACACAAGCACCGCGGCAACGGCGAAGCAGACGCCGUCGCUGCCUACAUUUGAGGAGAAGAGCUUUCUGCUGCACGGCCGCAGCACCGCAUCGCGCACCACCCCCGCUUCUUCCAAGGUCACAGCCGAGCAGGAGGCUGCCCUAUGGUCUGGGUUCGAACAAGAAUCCUCUGAGGUGCGCCACAGCUGCCUCGGCCCGUACUGCGCAGUGCUUCAUUUUGGCUCCCCGCGCGAUGCCAAUGAGUUUCUCUGCCAGCACCAACUCAUUUUGGCGGAGCAGCACAGCGUGUACGCCAUUCACGUUGGCACCGCACCCGGCUGCGCAUUAGCGGUCGCGCUGCCAAAAAUGUUGGCACGGCACGCGCUUGCCGACUGUGCCGUCGAUGGGCGCGUGGUGCGCGGCUACGUGGUGGCCAUGCACUCUAGCACGUACUGCGUGGUGGAUGCUGGCCUCUAUCCAUCCGCUGAUCAGGCAAGCAUCACCACGCUAGUUCACACGCACACCAACUUCUUAAGCGUAUCACUAGGGGACGAGGUGCAGGUGCAGCUGUCCGCCAGUGGGGGGCUGACAAUGGCUGAGAAAGGGAUGGUCGGGGGCAAGCUGCUGCGCGUCACCAGCGCCUCUGCUUUUUCAACUCGCCGCUCCGUUACCAAGGCGCAGCUACCCAAUACUGCUGCUCGCACCCUUCGCACCUCCAACCUAGCGCAUGGCUUAGUUGGCGCUGCUUCAUCGCCGCACCAGCCGCAGGCGAGACCUGCCAGUGGAGGCAGGGCAACGGAUGUGGCGGGGGCGGUAAGGCGCGGCACGCUCAACAACAAGCCAAACGCGACAGUCACCGGUGGUGGUAAUGGUGGUGCAGUUACAUCCAAGCCUGCAGGCGGAGCUGCUGCCAAGGCACUUGCCAGCAAGCUUUUCAGGAGUAUUCAGCAGAAGAGAAGUAGCGGCGGAGACAGUGAGGGCAACUCCGCGGAACGCAUCUGCGCCUACCCAGCCGGCCUAGGCGCGUACGCGCGGCUGCUGGUGCGCGUAGAGCGGAUCGAAGAGGAUGGCCUGCACGCCCGCUGCGUCGACGACGCCGAAAACUGCGGCUACGCCGGGCCCGUUUUCAUCCCUGCCGCGUUUGUGCCGGCUGACACCAGCAGCACCGGUCAGGGAUGGCGGACGUUUGCGGUUGUAGGGGAGCGCAUGCAUGUGGCGCUGCUUUACAUGGUGGCCGUGGGUGGCAGCGCCGCAACCAUGCGUGGCGUUGCCUCCAAAAAGGAGGCGGAUCUUCGCCACGCGGCAGCAGCCGCGGUGAGGGUCACGCCAGGAGACGUGGAGGGCGCCUCGGUUACCGCGGGGACGACAGUAAUGGCAAUGACCAUGCUGAAGCUUUCUGCCGGCGAUCUCGGUGUCCCGGCGGCCGACCACACAUCCCCAUACUUCCCCGCCUUUCUUCUCUACCCAGGGCUGCACGCGCCAGCGUCGCUGCGCCAAACGGUGCUUCUGCUGCCCUUGUCCGACCUGGGCUCGCUGGACCCCGCAACCCUCUCCACCUUGCCGGCGUCUCUCAUUGUGUCAGAGGUGGUGAACGACGUGAUGCGUGGGCAGUACGCCGUGGUAGUACCAUGCGCAGUCUACGCCGCGCGCCAAGCUCAGCGCGCGGCCGCACAAGAGCAGCGCAAGACGGCUGAGGUGGACGAGGUGAAGCGCCGAUUGGCGGCGGUCAUGGGGCAAGACAUCCUUAAGGUGCUGAACGCCGAGGAUGAGCCAGCUGCUAAGCGUCCCCGCGACGGGGACUGAGAUGUGGCUUAAUCACCCCGACGCAGCGCGUUGGCCCAUAUACCUUUCACACACAUAUACACAUCCCCCCAACGAAGAAAAAGCACUUGCGCGCCUUGGAGCAAGUGCUAG